GACGUAGGGCGCGAGUGUUGUCCGGAUUUAUUGGGCGUAAAGAGCUCGUAGGCGGCUUGUUGCGUCGGCUGUGAAAACCCGUGGCUUAACUACGGGCUUGCAGCUGAUACGGGCGGGCUAGAGUUCGGUAGGGGAGACUGGAAUUCCUGGUGUAGCGGUGAAAUGCGCAGAUAUCAGGAGGAACACCGAUGGCGAAGGCAGGUCUCUGGGCCGAUACUGACGCUGAGGAGCGAAAGCGUGGGGAGCGAACAGG
This 253-nucleotide ribosomal RNA is filed under the name uncultured prokaryote. Its description in RNAcentral is "partial 16S ribosomal RNA". It matches the Rfam family "Bacterial small subunit ribosomal RNA", at positions 524 to 776 of the family's 1533-position model. The record is from RNAcentral.